UGGGGAAUUUUCUGCAAUGGGCGAAAGCCUGACAGAGCGAUACCGCGUGAGGGAUGACGGCCUGUGGGUUGUAAACCUCUUUUUUCAAGGAGGAAGUUCUGACGUGUACUUGAAGAAUAAGCAUCGGCUAACUCCGUGCCAGCAGCCGCGGUAAGACGGAGGAUGCAAGUGUUAUCCGGAAUCACUGGGCGUAAAGCGUCUGUAGGUGGUUUAUUAAGUCUAUUGUUAAAUCUUGAGGCUUAACCUCAAAUCAGCAAUGGAUACUGAUAGACUAGAGUGUGAUAGAGGUAAGAGGAAUUUCCAGUGGAGCGGUGAAAUGCGUAGAGAUUGGAAAGAACACCGAUGGCGAAAGCAUCUUACUGGGUCAAAACUGACACUGAGAGACGAAAGCUAGGGUAGCAAAUGGG
RNAcentral lists this ribosomal RNA (407 nucleotides) under uncultured bacterium. RNAcentral describes it as "bacterial SSU rRNA". It matches the Rfam family "Bacterial small subunit ribosomal RNA", at positions 355 to 776 of the family's 1533-position model. The record is from RNAcentral.